This 498-nucleotide unclassified non-coding RNA is filed under the name Acacia xanthina. RNAcentral's name for it is "partial contains external transcribed spacer and 18S ribosomal RNA". The stretch from base 422 to 498 matches the Rfam family "Eukaryotic small subunit ribosomal RNA", at positions 1 to 76 of the family's 1831-position model. The record is from RNAcentral. Lineage: Eukaryota; Viridiplantae; Streptophyta; Magnoliopsida; Fabales; Fabaceae.
AUCUGUGCGUGCAAGUGUUGUUUGGAUCGUCCCUGCCGGCUGGCUCCGUGCCCGUCCACCGAACGGCCGGCAGGCGAUCCGCGUCGGUCGCGCGAGGUGGUGUUAUGUACGGUUACCCAGAGGCCGGUUCUUGUGCUGCCUACCCCUUCAGGGGAAGCACGGGCCACUUGAUGUAUAAGCCUCCAUCCGGCGCCCUCCAACGGGCGCCGGAGGACAGCGGAGCACCCCCCGCGUUCCACCGAGCCCUCGUCGGUCGCGUGGCCCGCGGGGACGUGCGAUGCUCUCGGACCCAGCGCACGCCGCGGGGCGAGGACUCACGUCCCAGCCCCAAGAGAAGCUUCGACCCAACGAAUGACGGCCCGUUCCGGCCCCCGUCCGCCCCGGCGGCGCGGGGGCGCGGCGCGGCGUCUCGGAGGAAUGCUACCUGGUUGAUCCUGCCAGUAGUCAUAUGCUUGUCUCAAAGAUUAAAACAAUGCAUGUGGCGGAUCAACCAGGUAG